RNAcentral lists this ribosomal RNA (546 nucleotides) under uncultured bacterium. Its description in RNAcentral is "bacterial SSU rRNA". It matches the Rfam family "Bacterial small subunit ribosomal RNA", at positions 383 to 926 of the family's 1533-position model. The record is from RNAcentral.
UGUAUCCAGCCAUCCCGCGUGUAGUGAUGACGGCCCUAUGGGUUGUAAACUACUUUUAUCUGGGGAUAAACCUACUUACGUGUAAGUAGCUGAAGGUACCAGAUGAAUAAACACCGGCUAACUCCGUGCCAGCAGCCGCGGUAAUACGGAGGGUGCGAGCGUUAUCCGGAUUUAUUGGGUUUAAAGGGUCCGUAGGCGGGCUUAUAAGUCAGUGGUGAAAUCCGACAGCUUAACUGUCGAACUGCCAUUGAUACUGUGAGCCUUGAGUAAGGUUGAAGUGGCUGGAAUAAGUAGUGUAGCGGUGAAAUGCAUAGAUAUUACUUAGAACACCAAUUGCGAAGGCAGGUCACUAAGUCUUAACUGACGCUGAUGGACGAAAGCGUGGGGAGCGAACAGGAUUAGAUACCCUGGUAGUCCACGCCGUAAACGAUGAUUACUCGUUUUUGGGUUUUAGGAUUCAGAGACUAAGCGAAAGUGAUAAGUAAUCCACCUGGGGAGUACGUUCCGCAAAAUGAAAUUAAAAGGGGAUUUGAACGGGAUUGGGGG